RNAcentral lists this non-coding RNA (97 nucleotides) under Gemella haemolysans. RNAcentral's name for it is "Glycine sequence". It matches the Rfam family "Glycine riboswitch aptamer". From Rfam's summary of the family: This family represents the bacterial glycine riboswitch. Glycine riboswitches usually consist of two metabolite-binding aptamers domains with similar structures in tandem. The aptamers cooperatively bind glycine to regulate the expression of downstream genes. The record is from RNAcentral. Lineage: Bacteria; Bacillati; Bacillota; Bacilli; Caryophanales; Gemellaceae.
AUGAUUAGUGUGGGAGAGGACAUUGGACACCGAAGGUACAAAUUAACACUUAGCAAUUGUUAAUGAAAUUCUCAGGUAAAAAAACUGCACUAGGACA